AACCAGAGGUGUAGGCUUUGCCUGCUAUCUCUUACCCAUGUCUUUUGAGUACCUUACGUUUCCUCGGCGGGUCCGCCCGCCGAUUGGACAAUUUAAACCAUUUGCAGUUGCAAUCAGCGUCUGAAAAAACUUAAUAGUUACAACUUUCAACAACGGAUCUCUUGGUUCUGGCAUCGAUGAAGAACGCAGCGAAAUGCGAUAAGUAGUGUGAAUUGCAGAAUUCAGUGAAUCAUCGAAUCUUUGAACGCACAUUGCGCCCCUUGGUAUUCCAUGGGGCAUGCCUGUUCGAGCGUCAUUUGUACCUUCAAGCUCUGCUUGGUGUUGGGUGUUUGUCUCGCCUCUGCGUGUAGACUCGCCUCAAAACAAUUGGCAGCCGGCGUAUUGAUUUCGGAGCGCAGUACAUCUCGCGCUUUGCACUCAUAACGACGACGUCCAAAAGUACAUUUUUACACUCUUGACCUCGGAUCAGGUAGGGAUACCCGCUGAACUUAAGCAUAUCAAGCGGGAGAGGAAAU
RNAcentral lists this ribosomal RNA (515 nucleotides) under Didymella glomerata. RNAcentral describes it as "eukaryotic LSU rRNA". The stretch from base 142 to 295 matches the Rfam family "5.8S ribosomal RNA". The record is from RNAcentral. Lineage: Eukaryota; Fungi; Ascomycota; Dothideomycetes; Pleosporales; Didymellaceae.